AGAGGGGUAGAGUAAUUGGUCGACUCGUCAGGCCUUAAUAUUAUUAUGGGGCCUGAAGACUGCAGGUUCGAACCCUGCCCCCACCU
Molecule: non-coding RNA, 86 nt
Organism: Picea glauca (white spruce)
Lineage: Eukaryota; Viridiplantae; Streptophyta; Pinopsida; Pinales; Pinaceae
Source: Rfam